Molecule: ribosomal RNA, 207 nt
Filed under: uncultured bacterium
Lineage: Bacteria
Description: partial 16S ribosomal RNA
Rfam family: Bacterial small subunit ribosomal RNA
Source: RNAcentral
CAUGUAGGCGGUUGCUUAAGUCGGACGUGAAAGCUCCUGGCUCAACUGGGAGAGGCCGUUCGAAACUAGGUAACUUGAGGAUGGUAGAGGAGAGUGGAAUUCCCGGUGUAGUGGUGAAAUGCGUAGAUAUCGGGAGGAACACCAGUGGCGAAGGCGGCUCUCUGGGCCAUUCCUGACGCUGUGAUGCGAAAGCUAGGGGAGAGAACG